This is a small nucleolar RNA of Cercocebus atys (sooty mangabey), 134 nucleotides long. The record is from Ensembl. NCBI's taxonomy places the organism in Eukaryota, Metazoa, Chordata, Mammalia, Primates, Cercopithecidae.
UACCCUCUUUUUACCCUGCCAACUGGAUGUAUGUAAUUACUGGUCAUUCCAGUGGGGCAAAGGAAAUAUCCUUUUUAAAACUCAGGCAAACUCGAUGUUUGUCAUAGUCAUGUAUCCUGUCAGAGAAAACAAAC